This 460-nucleotide ribosomal RNA is filed under the name Veillonella parvula. RNAcentral describes it as "bacterial SSU rRNA". It matches the Rfam family "Bacterial small subunit ribosomal RNA", at positions 28 to 465 of the family's 1533-position model. Lineage: Bacteria; Bacillati; Bacillota; Negativicutes; Veillonellales; Veillonellaceae. The record is from RNAcentral.
GACGAACGCUGGCGGCGUGCUUAACACAUGCAAGUCGAACGAAGAGCGAUGGAAGCUUGCUUCUAUCAAUCUUAGUGGCGAACGGGUGAGUAACGCGUAAUCAACCUGCCCUUCAGAGGGGGACAACAGUUGGAAGCGACUGCUAAUACCGCAUACGAUCUAAACUCGGCAUCGAGGAUAGAUGAAAGGUGGCCUCUACAUGUAAGCUAUCACUGAAGGAGGGGAUUGCGUCUGAUUAGCUAGUUGGAGGGGUAACGGCCCACCAAGGCGAUGAUCAGUAGCCGGUCUGAGAGGAUGAACGGCCACAUUGGGACUGAGACACGGCCCAGACUCCUACGGGAGGCAGCAGUGGGGAAUCUUCCGCAAUGGACGAAAGUCUGACGGAGCAGCGCCGCGUGAGUGAUGACGGCCUUCGGGUUGUAAAGCUCUGUUAAUCGGGACGAAAGGCCUUCUUGCGAAU